Molecule: ribosomal RNA, 1975 nt
Filed under: human gut metagenome
Description: bacterial LSU rRNA
Rfam family: Bacterial large subunit ribosomal RNA
Source: RNAcentral
GUAAAUAAUAAAGGGCGUAUGGUGGAUGCCUAGGCUCUCAGAGGCGAUGAAGGACGUGAUAAGCUGCGAAAAGCUCCGUUUAGGUGCAAAUAACCUUUGAUGCGGAGAUCUCCGAAUGGGAUAACCCAAUAUGUUGAAGACAUAUUAUACCGUAAGGUAGGCAAACGCAGGGAACUGAAACAUCUAAGUACCUGCAGGAGAAGAAAACAAACGUGAUUCCCCCAGUAGCGGCGAGCGACCGGGGAUAAGCCCAAACCGUUAUUGUUUCGGCAGUAGCGGGGUAGUAGGACUGCGACAUUGAUGAAAUAAAUGAAAUGGAACACCUUGGAAAAUGUGAUCACAGAGGGUGAUAAUCCCGUACAUGUAAGUUUAUGAAUCAUAGCAGACUCCUGAGUAAGUCGGGACACGUGUAAUCCUGACCGAAUCCGCCGGGACCAUCCGGCAAGGCUAAAUACUCCUGAGAGACCGAUAGUGAACCAGUACCGUGAGGGAAAGGUGAAAAGCACUUCGAACAGAAGAGUGAAAUAGUCCCUGAACCCAUACGCCUACAAGCAGUCGGAGCCGCUUCGUGCGGUGACGGCGUGCCUUUUGCAUAAUGAGCCUACGAGUUACUCAUCACCAGCGAGGUUAAGUACUUCAGGUACGUAAGCCGAAGCGAAAGCGAGUCUGAAUAGGGCGUCAAGUUGGUGGUGGUAGACGCGAAACCUUAGUGAUCUACCCAUGGGCAGGGUGAAGGUUUGGUAACACAAACUGGAGGCCCGAACCGGUAAACGUUGAAAAGUUUUCGGAUGACCUGUGGGUAGGGGUGAAAGGCCAAUCAAACUGGGAAAUAGCUCGUACUCUCCGAAAUGCAUUUAGGUGCAGCCUCUGUUGUUUUGUUCUAGAGGUAGAGCUACUGAUUGGAUGCGAGGGCUUCACCGCCUAUCAAAUCCGGCCAAACUCCGAAUGCUAGAACAUAAAGACAGGGAGUGAGCCAGCGGGUGCUAAGGUCCGUUGACGAAAGAGGGAGAACUCAGACCAUCAGCUAAGGUCCCCAAUUAUAUGCUAAGUUGGAAUAAAAACGGGGUGGGACUGCUUAGACAGCUAGGAUGUUGGCUUGGAAGCAGCCAUUCAUUUAAAGAGUGCGUAACAGCUCACUAGUCGAGCGGUCCUGCAUGGAUAAUACGCGGGCAUAAGCAUAUAACCGAAGCUAUGGGAUUGUAGAUGAUACAAUCGGUAGGAGAGCAUUCCAUUCAGCAUAGAAGCAGUAUCGUGAGGUAUUGUGGAGCGGAUGGAAAAGCAAAUGUAGGCAUAAGUAACGAUAAUGCGGGUGAGAACCCCGCACGCCGAAAGAUCAAGGAUUCCCCGGCAAUGUCAAUCAUCCGGGGGUAAGUCGGAUCCUAAGGGUAAGCCGAGUGGCGAUCCCGAUGGUAAACAGGUUAAUAUUCCUGUACUGAUCAUAACUGCGAUGCAGCGACGCAGAGGUGACACUGCUGCGUACUGACGGAAUAGUACGUUGAAACCCGUAUUCUUUGAUACCGGUAGUGAAGCACGCCGGUAGAGAUGAAAGGUGAUAGUACCGCAAUGCUUCGGUUGCGCGGAUAACGCAGGUAAGCUGACUGCCAAGAAAACCUGCUAAGCUUCAGGUAAUGAUCAUCCGUACUGUAAACGGACACACGUGAUCAGGUAGAAAAUACUAAGGCGCUCGAGAGAUUCAUGGUUAAGGAACUAGGCAAAAUGGUCCUGUAACUUCGGGAUAAAGGACGCUCUUGUGAAAGAGCCGCAGAUAAUAGGCCCAGGCGACUGUUUACCAAAAACACAUGGCUAUGCUAAUUCGCAAGAAGAUGUAUAUGGCCUGACACCUGCCCGGUGCCGGAAGGUUAAGAGGAGAGCUCAGAGGUAACUCGAAGGUUUGAAUUGAAGCCCCGGUAAACGGCGGCCGUAACUAUAACGGUCCUAAGGUAGCGAAAUUCCUUGUCGGGUAAGUUCCGACCUG